This 750-nucleotide ribosomal RNA is filed under the name uncultured bacterium. Its description in RNAcentral is "bacterial SSU rRNA". It matches the Rfam family "Bacterial small subunit ribosomal RNA", at positions 43 to 784 of the family's 1533-position model. The record is from RNAcentral.
GAGGCUUUACAUGGCUAGUCGAGGGGGCAUCGGGAGGGAAGCUUACUUUCCUUGCCGGCGACCGGCGCACGGGUGACUAACACGUAUGCAACCUGCCCUCUUCAGGGGGACAACCUUCCGAAAGGGAGGCUAAUCCCGCGUAUAUCGGUUUCGGGCAUCCGUUAUCGAGGAAAGAUUCAUCGGAAGAGGAUGGGCAUGCGGCGCAUUAGCUAGACGGCGGGGUAACGGCCCACCGUGGCGACGAUGCGUAGGGGUUCUGAGAGGAAGGUCCCCCACACUGGUACUGAGACACGGACCAGACUCCUACGGGAGGCAGCAGUGAGGAAUAUUGGUCAAUGGGAGAGAUCCUGAACCAGCCAAGCCGCGUGAGGGAAGACGGCCCUAUGGGUUGUAAACCUCUUUUGUCGGAGAACAAAACCCGGGACGUGUCCCGGACUGCGUGUAUCCGAAGAAAAAGCAUCGGCUAACUCCGUGCCAGCAGCCGCGGUAAUACGGAGGAUGCGAGCGUUAUCCGGAUUUAUUGGGUUUAAAGGGUGCGUAGGCGGUCUGUUAAGUCAGCGGUAAAAUUGCGGGGCUCAACCCCGUCGAGCCGUUGAAACUGGCAGACUUGAGUUGGCGAGAAGUACGCGGAAUGCGCGGUGUAGCGGUGAAAUGCAUAGAUAUCGCGCAGAACUCCGAUUGCGAAGGCAGCGUACCGGCGCCAGACUGACGCUGAGGCACGAAAGCGUGGGGAUCGAACAGGAUUAGAUA